This 301-nucleotide ribosomal RNA is filed under the name uncultured bacterium. Its description in RNAcentral is "partial 16S ribosomal RNA". It matches the Rfam family "Bacterial small subunit ribosomal RNA", at positions 509 to 807 of the family's 1533-position model. The record is from RNAcentral.
CAGUCACCGCGGUAAUACGAAGGGUGCAAGCGUUACUCGGAAUUACUGGGCGUAAAGCGUGCGUAGGUGGUGGUUUAAGUCCGUUGUGAAAGCCCUGGGCUUAACCUGGGAAUUGCAGUGGAUACUGGGUCACUAGAGUGUGGUAGAGGAUAGUGGAAUUUCCGGUGUAGCAGUGAAAUGCGUAGAGAUCGGAAGGAACAUCUGUGGCGAAGGCGACUAUCUGGGCCAACACUGACACUGAGGCACGAAAGCGUGGGGAGCAAACAGGAUUAGAUACCCCUGUAGUCCCUGUCUCUUAUAC